This is an RNA transcript of Zea mays, 326 nucleotides long. It is a transcript of the gene named protein-like pseudogene, with no coding region annotated. The transcript has 5 exons. The record is from RefSeq and is marked validated. Lineage: Eukaryota; Viridiplantae; Streptophyta; Magnoliopsida; Poales; Poaceae.
AUUUUUUUUCCAGGCUUUGCUUUAUGGUGUUGCAUGGGCUUCGUGGGUUCCAUAUUUUAGCUCUUCAUUGGGUAUCAUCUAUGUUCUGGCCAAACCAGCAAUAUAUGCGAUAAUUUCUGGUGAAGUACUGUCAACUGACCAGGGAAAAGCGCAAGGUUUUAUUGCAACCGUGCAGUCUGUAGCUAUAUUGUUGGCACCACAAUUUAUGAGUCCACUGACCUCUUACUUCAUUUCAGAGGAAGUGCCCUUCGACUGCAAAGGUUUCAGCUUUAUUGUGGCGAGUUUCUUCUUGGUCAGUCCUCUUCCUCUCACGGUCAUUUCAGAGG